Mastomys coucha (southern multimammate mouse) is the source of this 112-nucleotide small nuclear RNA. Lineage: Eukaryota; Metazoa; Chordata; Mammalia; Rodentia; Muridae. The record is from RefSeq and is a predicted model, not a curated record.
GAGGCUGAGGACAAAACAAGCUUCCUAUACCACAACUGGAAGGAAACAGAGAUGAUUAGCGUGGAAUCUGUAUAAGGAUAACAUACAGAUCCCCAAAUCAUCCCAUAGUUUU